Molecule: long non-coding RNA, 1599 nt
Organism: Esox lucius (northern pike)
Lineage: Eukaryota; Metazoa; Chordata; Actinopteri; Esociformes; Esocidae
Source: Ensembl
UAUUCCUGCCGCCGUGCUUGAUCCCCGUGCGGUAGCUCCAACAGGCCUGCCCUGAAUCACAGUCUUGAUCAGGUGGUCUUGUGGGCUUAACUAAAUUAGAAGCCAAAUAUACUCAUAGACUAAUUGCUAAGCUACGGUAAAGUCAAACCAGCACUGAACCCGGCAAAACUCAGUCUUCACGAAACGCAUGCCUGCAUGCAAUGCUACAAGAACACACGCUACGGUACGGCGUGUGGGCACCCCUUUACACAAAUAAGCCUCUCGUCGCCCCUGAAUGGAAGAUGUGUGCAUGUGCUCACUGGGGAUUUCCUGCGGCCUAGCCUCGGUAUAUCCCGCACGGAUCACCCGCUCAGGGACGUAACAAUGGAGCAUGUGUGAAACCCUAGCCAUUCUGGCUUGGCUUCAGUGGAUUGUGUCAGAAACACAUUGUUCUCCGUGAGAGGAGGGCAAUAAAGAAGGAGCUUUAUGGCCAUCAUGCGGAGUGGCGGCAUCAUGUGGAGUGUUGGCAGUUCAACACCUGGCACCGGGUCCCCCUGGGACAGGGGGGAUGAGGGAGAUGUCAUGCCAGGCGUCAGGCAGGGCGACCCAGGGUGGCAGACUCUUCAAGCAGAAUCAAGAUCAGCUGCAGAACCCGGUGGACAAGGAUGACCAGGUGGACAAGGACGACUAGGUGGACCAGGGCAACUAUGUGGACCCGGAAAACCAGGUGGACUGGGACAACCAGGUGGAUCAGGACAACCAGGUAGGCGAGGACAACCAGGUGGGCUGUAGGCAGUGACAGCUGGAAUUAUCAGUCAGACUAGAUCUGCAACACAACCGAAAGUACUUUGGACUGGGACAGUCAGAAAUUGCCAGGGCUUACAGUUCUAGUCUGAGGUCCAAAGGACUCAUGUCUUCCUCAAAAUCAAGAAAUUAGGCGGGGAAGCCACCAUUAGGGCAUGUGGAUAGAGUGGAGCUUUGAUGCAGUAUAGAUGAGGAAAAUGGACCAUUGGAACACAGAACACUGCCAUUGGCAUACAGGCAGAAACUGAUCUAACAAAGUCAAUAUUUGUGAAAUCCGUCAGGAUUUAUUGUAACAGGAACAUAAGUAGUUAAGCAACUCAUAUUUUUGUGUAUUUUACUUGUUUUAACAGCAUGACGUUUAGAAAUCAUGUUCUCCCUCAUCACAAAGGCAGUGUCUCUAUUUACCUUUAAUGCAUAUCUUUAGAAAUAACCUUUUGUAGUUAAUAUUCUACAAUCAUUACUAAAUACACAGCUACAAUGAAUAUUGAAAAUUGUAGUCUAAAUAUGCAGUAAUCAUGGUUUAGACUAGGGCACAGCACUGUGACUGGUUGUAAAUGAUAUGGCCAGAACCCUGAGAAUAGUUUUUUAAAUGGUUCAAUAUUUCAAUUGUAUUUUUAUAACCUUUAUGCUCUAUACCAAAGCACUGCUUCAUUGUGUGUUCUUUUUAUAAGCUGUUGCUGAAAACGGUUUCCAUCAAAAGGUAAAUACCAUGUAUGGGUCUUAAUAAAAGCAAUCUUCAUUGUGAGCGUUUAAAAUGUUACUACAUCAUGUAUCUUUAGCCAUAUAAAGCAUGUGUAAAGAUGUAUUAAAACUGAG